GUGAAAUCACAAGCAGUGGUGAACUCCCACAGACAGAUCACUCCGUCUCAACUUUGUGAGAUAAACCACUGACCAGAGGUGUGAUGCCAGGACCCUGGAAGUCACCUGCCGGGAAACUCGCAUCCACUGCAGCUGAACCAAUGGUGUGCACACCAUGUGGCAGAACUCCUGGUCAUCUCAGACUACAACUGCACAGAGGUUGUUCUAAUUGUAGCCAACAGCAAAAAAGAAACUAUAAGACACUUGGAUUCUUCCAGGGGAACACAAGCCACCUUCAAGUCUUGUGGUCAAGGGUAGUAUACAUGUUAUCUUCAAAGUGAAGAAGACUCUGAUACAAAGUAAUAAAUGAAUAGAGGGUCAAAAAAAUAACUUUUGCAAUAGACCAGAAGAACUUUGGAUUUCCAAGAAAAGAAGGAAUACAUAAUCAGAG
This 430-nucleotide long non-coding RNA is filed under the name Homo sapiens (human). RNAcentral's name for it is "HSALNT0274599". The record is from RNAcentral. Lineage: Eukaryota; Metazoa; Chordata; Mammalia; Primates; Hominidae.